This 72-nucleotide transfer RNA is filed under the name Myxococcales bacterium. RNAcentral's name for it is "tRNA-Glu". It matches the Rfam family "tRNA". Rfam says of the family: Transfer RNA (tRNA) molecules are approximately 80 nucleotides in length. Their secondary structure includes four short double-helical elements and three loops (D, anti-codon, and T loops). The record is from RNAcentral. Lineage: Bacteria; Pseudomonadati; Myxococcota; Myxococcia; Myxococcales.
GGCGCGUUAGUCUAGCGGUUAGGACGCCGGCCUCUCACGCCGGAAUCACGGGUUCGAUUCCCGUACGCGCUA